This 402-nucleotide ribosomal RNA is filed under the name uncultured bacterium. RNAcentral describes it as "bacterial SSU rRNA". It matches the Rfam family "Bacterial small subunit ribosomal RNA", at positions 355 to 774 of the family's 1533-position model. The record is from RNAcentral.
UGGGGAAUAUUGCACAAUGGAGGAAACCCUGAUGCAGCAACGCCGCGUGAGUGAUGACGGCCUUCGGGUUGUAAAGCUCUGUCUUCAGGGACGAUAAUGACGGUACCUGAGGAGGAAGCCACGGCUAACUACGUGCCAGCAGCCGCGGUAAUACGUAGGUGGCAAGCGUUGUCCGGAUUUACUGGGCGUAAAGGGAGCGUAGGCGGACUUUUAAGUGAGAUGUGAAAUACCCGGGCUCAACCUGGGUGCUGCAUUUCAAACUGGAAGCCUAGAGUGCAGGAGAGGAGAGUGGAAUUCCUAGUGUAGCGGUGAAAUGCUUAGAGAUUAGGAAGAACACCAGUGGCGAAGGCGACUCUCUGGACUGUAACUGACGCUGAGGCUCGAAAGCGUGGGGAGCAAACA